CCUGGUGGCUAUGGCGGGGAGUUCCUACCCGAUCCCAUACCGAACUCGGACGUCAAAACCCCCAGCGCCCAUGAUACUGUGUCUCAAGGCACGGAAAAGUAGGUCGCCGCCAGGU
RNAcentral lists this ribosomal RNA (115 nucleotides) under Brytella acorum. Lineage: Bacteria; Pseudomonadati; Pseudomonadota; Alphaproteobacteria; Acetobacterales; Acetobacteraceae. The record is from RNAcentral.